GAUGAACGCUGGCGGCGUGCCUAAUACAUGCAAGUCGAGCGAACAGACGAGGAGCUUGCUCCUCUGACGUUAGCGGCGGACGGGUGAGUAACACGUGGAUAACCUACCUAUAAGACUGGGAUAACUUCGGGAGACCGGAGCUAAUACCGGAUAAUAUAUUGAACCGCAUGGUUCAAUAGUGAAAGACGGUUUUGCUGUCACUUAUAGAUGGAUCCGCGCCGCAUUAGCUAGUUGGUAAGGUAACGGCUUACCAAGGCGACGAUGCGUAGCCGACCUGAGAGGGUGAUCGGCCACACUGGAACUGAGACACGGUCCAGACUCCUACGGGAGGAAGCAGUAGGGAAUCUUCCGCAAUGGGCGAAAGCCUGACGGAGCAACGCCGCGUGAGUGAUGAAGGUCUUCGGAUCGUAAAACUCUGUUAUUAGGGAAGAACAAAUGUGUAAGUAACUAUGCACGUCUUGACGGUACCUAAUCAGAAAGCCACGGCUAACUACGUG
This 497-nucleotide ribosomal RNA is filed under the name uncultured bacterium. RNAcentral describes it as "partial 16S ribosomal RNA". It matches the Rfam family "Bacterial small subunit ribosomal RNA", at positions 28 to 507 of the family's 1533-position model. The record is from RNAcentral.